AGCGCCUGCCUGUUUCUCCCCUUGGUCCACCCGAGUUCUGGGGGGAGGGCAGGACAUGCUAAGCCUGGAAGGAAGCAUUGGGAAACUCAGCAGUGUUCGCCCAAAUGACCCUUCAUGAGAUGCUGCACAGCUGGGAUGGAAGGCCACCUUUUUCUUUUUGCUUCCUUCCCGUGAGCCCUAGGGACCCUAUCUUCCCCAGCUCAGGGGACAGGUCCUGGGGUGACACAAGUCAUGCUUCAUACACUUUAAAGUCACUUUGUGUUCCACAGCUAACCACUCGGCCCAGCAUUCGGCCCAGCCCACUACCCUUUAAAUCUGUGGUUCACCAGGAUAUAUAUAGACACACACGUAUAUAUUCCUCUGAAGACUUGGACUGUUUUCUCUUGGUGGCUUGGGUCUUGACAAGGAUAUAUGCAGUGCAGACUUGGGCUGAGGUGUGCAGGCGGAUAAUACUUUUGGACCUGGGGGCCUGCAGUUUUGUUUUGGGGGCUGGGGGCUGGGGGGAGAGAAGCAGGAUCGGAACUGUGUAGCCCAAACUAUCCCUAAACUCAUGGCCCAUCCUCCUGUCUCAGCCUCCCAAAUGUUAGCCGUUCAGGUUUCAGCAUGAGCCGCCAUGACGGGUACUGUGGCUGUGUGCCUGAAGGUGGCUCCUUAGAUCCCUCCUCCUGACCACACCCACUCAGCUCUAACAACCUAGAGAUGGUGAAGGCUGAGACAAGGGUGGUCAUGUGUGACCAGCUUAAGUCAGGUCAUCAAGACAAGGCUUUGCCCAAUGUGGUUUCACAUUCUGUGGACACCGAAGAAUAAGAUCAGGCCCAGGAGAUCUUGAAGCGAGUGGAACGUGGCUUCCUCUGAAAGCCAGUGACUUGAUGGAUGGGGUGGAUAGCACCCACAGAACUUCCACUCUCCUACCCAAAACAACAAGAUAAAAUGGGGACCAAUGCUUUUAACUUUGCAUAUUUGUUUUUUGGGGUAAGUUUCUCCCUUUUCCUUCAACAAUGGGCAAUAUCCUUGAUUUAUGGGGAGAAGAAAAACUGUUGGAACCACACCAAUGAUAUCUUCAUUUGUAAUACUUGAAAUUUAUUUUUUUAUUAUUUUGAUAGCAGAUGUGCUAUUUAUUUAUUUAAUAUGUAUAAGGGAGCCUAAAACUAGAAAGCUGUAUAGAUUGGGUUUAAUUGUUCAUUGGUUUGGGGCCUUCUUUCAAUGUGUGACUGAUGACUUCUUCAUGUUCCGUGUAAUUGUCUCUGUCGAAGACCUGGGAAGAAGCUAUGCAAGCUUUUAAACAGGAUGCGCCUUUCAGAAAUUUGUAUAUUUUGCAGUUGCAAGAACAAUAAAAACCUGGUUGAGAUAUACUGGCGG
This 1359-nucleotide long non-coding RNA is filed under the name Rattus norvegicus (Norway rat). RNAcentral's name for it is "long non-coding RNA NONRATT012600". The record is from RNAcentral. Lineage: Eukaryota; Metazoa; Chordata; Mammalia; Rodentia; Muridae.